CUGCACUGGCUUUAAGAGUAUAUAGGACAUUGGGCGUGCUGUCCGACGCUCAGUUUCAUCUUCUUUUCUAUGUUUGGAAAACAGGAGCUUAGCACCAGCAACAGAGGCACCGUACCAUCACUGUGUACAACCUUGCUCCCAUGGUGAUACAAACCUUGGAAAGGUCUGGAAUAUGUGCUGGGUAUAAAAUCACAACACAGAAAACGGGGCUUGGAUGAUUUCUUCAACAAGUAUUGAUGUUGGUGGUGAGUGUAUUCAGAUUCUCCCAAGAAGAGAAUUAAAGCCGAAUUUCCCACUACAUUUUUAAUAAAGUGCAAGCAUUUUAUCACUGCACCUGGACCAGGGAGUUGAUCUGCAGUCUUCCAGCCACCAGGGACAAGCAAACGAUGGGUUUUCUUAACAUUUGUGUGAAUCAUGAGUAAAUUAUGACUACGCCAAGCAGAUCAUCAAUAAAAUGAGAUGUUAUCCUGA
Long non-coding RNA from Xenopus tropicalis (tropical clawed frog), 471 nucleotides. RefSeq lists it as uncharacterized. NCBI's taxonomy places the organism in Eukaryota, Metazoa, Chordata, Amphibia, Anura, Pipidae. The record is from RefSeq and is a predicted model, not a curated record. The transcript is spliced from 2 exons.